GGGGAAUUUUGGACAAUGGGCGAAAGCCUGAUCCAGCAAUGCCGCGUGCAGGAUGAAGGCCUUCGGGUUGUAAACUGCUUUUGUACGGAACGAAAAGGCUCUGGCUAAUACCUGGGGCACAUGACGGUACCGUAAGAAUAAGCACCGGCUAACUACGUGCCAGCAGCCGCGGUAAUACGUAGGGUGCGAGCGUUAAUCGGAAUUACUGGGCGUAAAGCGUGCGCAGGCGGUUUUGUAAGACAGAGGUGAAAUCCCCGGGCUCAACCUGGGAACUGCCUUUGUGACUGCAAAGCUGGAGUGCGGCAGAGGGGGAUGGAAUUCCGCGUGUAGCAGUGAAAUGCGUAGAUAUGCGGAGGAACACCGAUGGCGAAGGCAAUCCCCUGGGCCUGCACUGACGCUCAUGCACGAAAGCGUGGGGAGCAAAC
This 425-nucleotide ribosomal RNA is filed under the name uncultured bacterium. RNAcentral's name for it is "bacterial SSU rRNA". It matches the Rfam family "Bacterial small subunit ribosomal RNA", at positions 356 to 773 of the family's 1533-position model. The record is from RNAcentral.